This 518-nucleotide ribosomal RNA is filed under the name Drosophila tsacasi. RNAcentral describes it as "partial 16S ribosomal RNA". The stretch from base 269 to 428 matches the Rfam family "Bacterial large subunit ribosomal RNA", at positions 2473 to 2632 of the family's 2925-position model. Lineage: Eukaryota; Metazoa; Arthropoda; Insecta; Diptera; Drosophilidae. The record is from RNAcentral.
AUGGUUGGACGAAAUAUUAACUGUUUCAUUUAAAAUUAAUAUAGAAUUUUAUUUUUUAGUCAAAAAGCUAAAAUUAUUUUAAAAGACGAGAAGACCCUAUAAAUCUUUAUAUUUUGUUUAUUUUAAUUAUAAAGAUUAUUUUAAUUUUAAUAAAUUAAAAUAUUUUAUUGGGGUGAUAUUAAAAUUUAAAAAACUUUUAAUUUUUAAAAACAUUAAUUUAUGAAUAAUUGAUCCAUUAAUAAUGAUUAAAAAAUUAAGUUACUUUAGGGAUAACAGCGUAAUUUUUUUGGAGAGUUCAUAUCGAUAAAAAAGAUUGCGACCUCGAUGUUGGAUUAAGAUAUAAUUUUGGGUGUAGCCGUUCAAAUUUUAAGUCUGUUCGACUUUUAAAUUCUUACAUGAUCUGAGUUCAAACCGGUGUAAGCCAGGUUGGUUUCUAUCUUUAAAAAGUUAUAAUAUUUUAGUACGAAAGGACCAAAUAUUAAAAUAAUUAUAUUUAAUAAAAUGAAUAUUGUUAGUUU